RNAcentral lists this ribosomal RNA (441 nucleotides) under uncultured actinomycete. RNAcentral's name for it is "bacterial SSU rRNA". It matches the Rfam family "Bacterial small subunit ribosomal RNA", at positions 505 to 944 of the family's 1533-position model. The record is from RNAcentral. Lineage: Bacteria; Bacillati; Actinomycetota; Actinomycetes; Actinomycetales.
GUGCCAGCAGCCGCGGUAAUACGUAGGGCGCAAGCGUUGUCCGGAAUUAUUGGGCGUAAAGAGCUCGUAGGUGGCUUGUCACGUCGGGUGUGAAAGCUUGGGGCUUAACUCCAGGUCUGCAUUCGAUACGGGCUGGCUAGAGGUAGGUAGGGGAGAACGGAAUUCCUGGUGUAGCGGUGAAAUGCGCAGAUAUCAGGAGGAACACCGGUGGCGAAGGCGGUUCUCUGGGCCUUACCUGACGCUGAGGAGCGAAAGCGUGGGGAGCGAACAGGAUUAGAUACCCUGGUAGUCCACGCUGUAAACGUUGGGCGCUAGGUGUGGGGACCUUCCACGGUUUCCGCGCCGUAGCUAACGCAUUAAGCGCCCCGCCUGGGGAGUACGGCCGCAAGGCUAAAACUCAAAGGAAUUGACGGGGGCCCGCACAAGCGGCGGAGCAUGUUG